This is a non-coding RNA of Nylanderia fulva, 607 nucleotides long. Lineage: Eukaryota; Metazoa; Arthropoda; Insecta; Hymenoptera; Formicidae. The record is from RefSeq and is a predicted model, not a curated record.
UAUCGCGCUCUUGCAAACGCUAAUCAGGCAAGAUGUGGGAAAUUUGUCGCAUCGACGCGCAGGUGCGGCCCGAAAUAGUACUGUGCAUCCGCUUCGUUAAGAAGGCGCCAUCAGCCACCAUCGACGAUCGACCACGAAUACCGGGUUAACUUUAACUCUUCGAGUGGGUAGUUUAAAUCGGAAAGGAUCGUAUUCGUUAUGGUCGUGAAAAAAAAAAAAAAAGAAAUUCGUUUAUCCAUGUUCAUUUAAUUUCUUUCCACGUCUUCUUCAACCAUGAAGAGGCAUGAAGUAUCAAGAAGCUCUCUUUCUAUAUAAUAAAUGUCAAGGCACUUAUGACGCUUACGAUUUUAUCAAGUCCAGGUGGAUUUGUAUAAACACACGUACAGAAAAAAUCGGUAUCAAUCGAGUAUCUAAUAUAAAGAACACGAGAAAAGCAGAAAAAAAGGAUAUGUGAACUUUGUACGAAUAACGAAAAAAACCUAUUUUGAAGAAUGUGUUAUCUGGCUAUUCUCGAGUCGUAUGUGACAGUGGACACUAUUGUUUACAAAGACAUUCAUCUGACAUUUGUGUUUCAUAGAAAAAGAGAGAGAGAGAGAGAGAGAGAGAG